GUGUCAGCCGCCGCGGUAAUACGUAGGGGGCAAGCGUUGUCCGGAUUUAUUGGGCGUAAAGAGCUCGUAGGCGGUUCCGUAAGUCGUGAAGUCAAAUCUCUGGGCUCAACCCAGAAUCGCUUCCGAUACUGCGGUGACUGGAGUCCGGUAGGGGAGUGUGGAAUUCCUGGUGUAGCGGUGAAAUGCGCAGAUAUCAGGAGGAACACCAACAGCGAAGGCAGCACUCUGGGCCGGUACUGACGCUGAGGAGCGAAAGCAUGGGGAGCGAACAGGAUUAGAUACCCUAGUAGUCC
Molecule: ribosomal RNA, 293 nt
Filed under: uncultured bacterium
Lineage: Bacteria
Description: partial 16S ribosomal RNA
Rfam family: Bacterial small subunit ribosomal RNA
Source: RNAcentral